Molecule: ribosomal RNA, 1375 nt
Filed under: uncultured bacterium
Lineage: Bacteria
Description: bacterial SSU rRNA
Rfam family: Bacterial small subunit ribosomal RNA
Source: RNAcentral
GAUGAACGCUGGCGGCGUGCUUAACACAUGCAAGUCGAACGAAGAAGGUUAGAAUGAGAGCUUCGGCAGGAUUUCUUUCCAUCUUAGUGGCGGACGGGUGAGUAACGUGUGGGCAACCUGCCCUGUACUGGGGAAUAAUCAUUGGAAACGAUGACUAAUACCGCAUGUGGUCCUCGGAAGGCAUCUUCUGAGGAAGAAAGGAUUUAUUCGGUACAGGAUGGGCCCGCAUCUGAUUAGCUAGUUGGUGAGAUAACAGCCCACCAAGGCGACGAUCAGUAGCCGACCUGAGAGGGUGAUCGGCCACAUUGGGACUGAGACACGGCCCAAACUCCUACGGGAGGCAGCAGUGGGGAAUAUUGCACAAUGGGCGAAAGCCUGAUGCAGCAACGCCGCGUGAAGGAUGAAGGGUUUCGGCUCGUAAACUUCUAUCAACAGGGAAGAAACAAAUGACGGUACCUAAAUAAGAAGCCCCGGCUAACUACGUGCCAGCAGCCGCGGUAAUACGUAGGGGGCAAGCGUUAUCCGGAAUUACUGGGUGUAAAGGGAGCGUAGGCGGCAUGGUAAGCCAGAUGUGAAAGCCCUUGGUGCUUAACCCGUAGGGAUUUGCAUUUUGGAAGCUAUCCAAGACUAGAUGUACCAGGAGAUGGAAAGACGGAAUUUCCUAGUGUAGCGGUGAAAUGCGUAGAUAUUAGGAAGAACACCAGUGGCGAAGGCGGCUUUCUGGACUGAAACUGACGCUGAGGCUCGAAAGCGUGGGGAGCAAACAGGAUUAGAUACCCUGGUAGUUUACGCCGUAAACGAUGAGUGCUAGGUGUCGGGGAGGAAUCCUCGGUGCCGCAGCUAACGCAAUAAGCACUCCACCUGGGGAGUACGACCGCAAGGUUGAAACUCAAAGGAAUUGACGGGGGCCCGCACAAGCGGUGGAGCAUGUGGUUUAAUUCGAAGCAACGCGAAGAACCUUACCAAGGCUUGACAUCCCGAUGACCGUCCUAGAGAUAGGACUUCUCUUCGGAGCAUCGGUGACAGGUGGUGCAUGGUUGUCGUCAGCUCGUGUCGUGAGAUGUUGGGUUAAGUCCCGCAACGAGCGCAACCCUUAUCUUCAGUAGCCAUCAUUCAGUUGGGCACUCUGGAGAGACUGCCGUGGAUAACACGGAGGAAGGUGGGGAUGACGUCAAAUCAUCAUGCCCCUUAUGUCUUGGGCUACACACGUGCUACAAUGGCUGGUAACAAAGUGACGCAAGACGGCGACGUUAAGCAAAUCACAAAAACCCAGUCCCAGUUCGGAUUGUAGUCUGCAACUCGACUACAUGAAGCUGGAAUCGCUAGUAAUCGCGAAUCAGCAUGUCGCGGUGAAUACGUUCCCGGGCCUUGUACA